CAUUAUUCCACAGUAAUGUGAUCAACUUGCAUUCCUCAGUUGGGCAAACAUACAGGCUAGAAGAUUGAUGAAUGAAUAUUUUUAAUGCAAAUACUUCAUAAACUGUAACUUGUGCGGCAAAAGAAAAGAUGAGUAUGAUUCAGAGUAAUGACUCAGAGGAACCUCGAAAUAAUUUUUACAUUUUCUAACAAGUUAAAUGUGCUGUUCUCUGCAAGGAUCUUUACUGUUUUAUUAAAACUGCAACUUGAAUGCAUAAUCAAUGAAUGUAUGCCCUCCUUAUAAAAUACACAAUUCCUAUUCGAGUAGUUUAAUACAAAAAUCUCAUCUCUGCACAGAGCCCUGCUGUUCAGGACUGGGGAGAAGCUCUGUGAUGAGAAAAUGAAAACCUUUCUCCUGGUGUUUUGGCGAUAUAGAGAGGUGAAAAAAAAGCCUCCUGGUGUUUUUGAGCACCUCUUCUCUAAAGCUAAUGCAAGAGAAUAGGAACUGGCUCUUCUACCAUCUGAGAGGGUUCAAGGGGGUGGAGAUCGGCUGGGACAGGAGAUAUAGGAAGAUACUUUCUUCUCUGGAGCAUUUCUCUCUAAAUAUUGAUUGUUAUCCUAAACAUCUGCAACUCCGUUCACCUUUCUCUUGACAAGCAAAUCAGUGUUCUUUUGCCUUGAACGCUCUGCCGACUACGGUCACAGGCACAAGAAGGAAGAUGAGUCACUGCAAGCUUGACAUUAAAGAUGUGACUUUUUUAGCAUUUGGAUGCUUCCUUUUUUUAUUUCCAUUAAGUGCCUCCUUGGAAAGAGUGGCUUGUGACAUGGUAUUUAAUUAUUAAUGAUCAAUACAGCAGAACAGCUAUAGGUUGAGAGGAUACUGCCUGGCAUAAAGUGUUGACACUGAACUGUGUAUGUGGGAUAAACAAAGAGUGAAUUAUUUCUUUGGAAACAAGCCUGUUACACUUCUCAAAAGAAGACAUUUAUGCAGCCAACAGACAUAUGAAAAAAUGCUCAUCAUCACUGGUCAUUAGAGAAAUGCAAAUCAAAACCACAAUGAGAUACCGUGUCAGUCCAGUUAGAAUGGCAAUAAUUAAAAAGUCAGCAAACAACAGAUGCUGGAGAGGUUGUGGAAAAAUAGCGCUUUUACACUGUUGGUGGGAGUGUAAAUUAGUGUAAAUUAGUUCAACCAUUGUGGAAGACAGUGUGGCGAUUCCUCAGGGAUCUAGAACUAGAAAUACCAUUUGACCCAGCAAUCCCAUUACUAGGCAUAUACCCAAAGGAUUAUGAAUCAUUCUAUUGUGGUACUAUUCACAAUAGCAAAGACUUGGAAGCAACCCAACUGUCCAUCAAUGAUAGACUGGAUUAAGAAAAUGUGGCACAUAUACAUCAUGGAAUACUAUGCAGCCAUAAAAAAGGAUGAGUUCAGUCGGGUGCUGUGGCUCAUGCCUGUGAUUCCAGCACUUUGGGAGGCCGAGGUGGACAGAUCAUGAGUUCAGGAGAUUGAGACCAUCCUGGCUAACACGGUGAAACCCUGUCUCUAGUAAAAAAUACAAAAAAUUAACCGGUCAUGGUGGUGGGCACCUAUAGUCCCAGCUACGUGGGAGGCUGAGGCAGGAGAAUGGCAUGAACCCGGGAGGCGGAGCUUGCAGUGAGCCGAUAUUGAGCCACUGCAUUCCAACCUGGGUGACAGAGCGAGACUCUGUCUCAAAAAAAAAAAAGAUGAAUUAAUGUCCUUUGCAGGGACAUGGAUGAAGCUUGAAACCAUCAUUCUCAGCAAACUAUCUGGAUUAAGAAAAUAUGGCACAUACAUACCAUGGAAUACCAUGCAGCCAUAAAAAAGGAUGAGUUCAUGUCCUUUGCAGGGACAUAGAUGAAGCUGGAAACCAUCAUUCUCAGCAAACUAUCACAAGAUCAGAAAACCAAACACCACGUGUUCUCACUCAUAAAUGGGAGUUGAACAAUGAGAACACAUGGACACAGAGAGGGGACCAUCACACACCG
RNAcentral lists this long non-coding RNA (1982 nucleotides) under Homo sapiens (human). RNAcentral describes it as "HSALNT0115387". Lineage: Eukaryota; Metazoa; Chordata; Mammalia; Primates; Hominidae. The record is from RNAcentral.